This 203-nucleotide small RNA is filed under the name Pongo abelii (Sumatran orangutan). The stretch from base 47 to 203 matches the Rfam family "Metazoan signal recognition particle RNA", at positions 65 to 221 of the family's 299-position model. From Rfam's summary of the family: The signal recognition particle (SRP) is a universally conserved ribonucleoprotein. It is involved in the co-translational targeting of proteins to membranes. The record is from RNAcentral. Lineage: Eukaryota; Metazoa; Chordata; Mammalia; Primates; Hominidae.
GCCCCAGGAGGAAGGGGGGACUGUUAGCAGCAUAGGAUUGAGGAGUUGGAAGAGACCUUUAGAACAGCUGGUCAUUAUGCCGACCGGGUGCCUGCACUAAGUUCGGCAUCAGUGUGGUGACCUCCUGUGAGCGGGGGGCCACCAAGUUGCCUAAGGAUGGCUGAACUGGCCCAGGUCAGAAAGGGAGCAGGUCAGAACUCCCA